GGUCAAGUGAAGAAGCGCAUACGGUGGAUGCCUUGGCAGUCAGAGGCGAUGAAAGACGUGGUAGCCUGCGAAAAGCUUCGGGGAGUCGGCAAACAGACUGUGAUCCGGAGAUAUCUGAAUGGGGGAACCCAGCCAUCAUAAGAUGGUUAUCUUGUACUGAAUACAUAGGUGCAAGAGGCGAACCAGGGGAACUGAAACAUCUAAGUACCCUGAGGAAAAGAAAUCAACCGAGAUUCCCUUAGUAGUGGCGAGCGAACGGGGACCAGCCCUUAAGUUGUAUUGAGAUUAGCGGAACGUUCUGGAAAGGACGGCCAUAGUGGGUGAUAGCCCUGUACGCGAAAAUCCCUUUGCAAUGAAAUCGAGUAGGACGGGGCACGAGAAACCUUGUCUGAAUAUGGGGGGACCAUCCUCCAAGGCUAAAUACUACUGACUGACCGAUAGUGAACCAGUACCGUGAGGGAAAGGCGAAAAGAACCGCGGAGAGCGGAGUGAAAUAGAUCCUGAAACCGUAUGCGUACAAGCAGUGGGAGCCCACUUUGUUGGGUGACUGCGUACCUUUUGUAUAAUGGGUCAGCGACUUAUUUUCAGUGGCGAGCUUAACCGAAUAGGGGAGGCGUAGCGAAAGCGAGUCUUAAUAGGGCGUCUAGUCGCUGGGAAUAGACCCGAAACCGGGCGAUCUAUCCAUGGGCAGGUUGAAGGUUGGGUAACACUAACUGGAGGACCGAACCGACUACCGUUGAAAAGUUAGCGGAUGACCUGUGGAUCGGAGUGAAAGGCUAAUCAAGCUCGGAGAUAGCUGGUUCUCCUCGAAAGCUAUUUAGGUAGCGCCUCAUGUAUCACUGUAGGGGGUAGAGCACUGUUUCGGCUAGGGGGUCAUCCCGACUUACCAAACCGAUGCAAACUCCGAAUACCUACAAGUGCCGAGCAUGGGAGACACACGGCGGGUGCUAACGUCCGUCGUGAAAAGGGAAACAACCCAGACCGUCAGCUAAGGUCCCAAAGUCAUGGUUAAGUGGGAAACGAUGUGGGAAGGCUUAGACAGCUAGGAGGUUGGCUUAGAAGCAGCCACCCUUUAAAGAAAGCGUAAUAGCUCACUAGUCGAGUCGGCCUGCGCGGAAGAUGUAACGGGGCUCAAACCAUGCACCGAAGCUACGGGUAUCAUCUUUUGAUGAUGCGGUAGAGGAGCGUUCUGUAAGCCUGUGAAGGUGAGUUGAGAAGCUUGCUGGAGGUAUCAGAAGUGCGAAUGCUGACAUGAGUAACGACAAUGGGUGUGAAAAACACCCACGCCGAAAGACCAAGGUUUCCUGCGCAACGUUAAUCGACGCAGGGUUAGUCGGUCCCUAAGGCGAGGCUGAAAAGCGUAGUCGAUGGAAAACAGGUUAAUAUUCCUGUACUUCUGGUUAUUGCGAUGGAGGGACGGAGAAGGCUAGGCCAGCCUGGCGUUGGUUGUCCAGGUUUAAGGUGGUAGGCUGAGAUCUUAGGUAAAUCCGGGAUCUUAAGGCCGAGAGCUGAUGACGAGUGUUCUUUUAGAACACGAAGUGGUUGAUGCCAUGCUUCCAAGAAAAGCUUCUAAGCUUCAGGUAACCAGGAACCGUACCCCAAACCGACACAGGUGGUUGGGUAGAGAAUACCAAGGCGCUUGAGAGAACUCGGGUGAAGGAACUAGGCAAAAUGGCACCGUAACUUCGGGAGAAGGUGCGCCGGUGGAGGUGAAGCAUUUACUGCGUAAGCCCCUGCCGGUCGAAGAUACCAGGCCGCUGCGACUGUUUAUUAAAAACACAGCACUCUGCAAACACGAAAGUGGACGUAUAGGGUGUGACGCCUGCCCGGUGCCGGAAGGUUAAUUGAUGGGGUUAGCGCAAGCGAAGCUCUUGAUCGAAGCCCCGGUAAACGGCGGCCGUAACUAUAACGGUCCUAAGGUAGCGAAAUUCCUUGUCGGGUAAGUUCCGACCUGCACGAAUGGCGUAACGAUGGCGGCGCUGUCUCCACCCGAGACUCAGUGAAAUUGAAAUCGCUGUGAAGAUGCAGUGUAUCCGCGGCUAGACGGAAAGACCCCGUGAACCUUUACUAUAGCUUUGCACUGGACUUUGAAUUUGCUUGUGUAGGAUAGGUGGGAGGCUUUGAAGCGUGGACGCCAGUCUGCGUGGAGCCAACCUUGAAAUACCACCCUGGCAACUUUGAGGUUCUAACUCAGGUCCGUUAUCCGGAUCGAGGACAGUGUAUGGUGGGUAGUUUGACUGGGGCGGUCUCCUCCUAAAGAGUAACGGAGGAGUACGAAGGUGCGCUCAGACCGGUCGGAAAUCGGUCGUAGAGUAUAAAGGCAAAAGCGCGCUUGACUGCGAGACAGACACGUCGAGCAGGUACGAAAGUAGGUCUUAGUGAUCCGGUGGUUCUGUAUGGAAGGGCCAUCGCUCAACGGAUAAAAGGUACUCCGGGGAUAACAGGCUGAUACCGCCCAAGAGUUCAUAUCGACGGCGGUGUUUGGCACCUCGAUGUCGGCUCAUCACAUCCUGGGGCUGAAGCCGGUCCCAAGGGUAUGGCUGUUCGCCAUUUAAAGUGGUACGCGAGCUGGGUUUAGAACGUCGUGAGACAGUUCGGUCCCUAUCUGCCGUGGACGUUUGAGAUUUGAGAGGGGCUGCUCCUAGUACGAGAGGACCGGAGUGGACGAACCUCUGGUGUUCCGGUUGUCACGCCAGUGGCAUUGCCGGGUAGCUAUGUUCGGAAAAGAUAACCGCUGAAAGCAUCUAAGCGGGAAACUUGCCUCAAGAUGAGAUCUCACUGGAACCUUGAGUUCCCUAAAGGGCCGUCGAAGACUACGACGUUGAUAGGUUGGGUGUGUAAGCGCUGUGAGGCGUUGAGCUAACCAAUACUAAUUGCCCGUGAGGCUUGACCAU
RNAcentral lists this ribosomal RNA (2894 nucleotides) under Pseudomonas syringae. Its description in RNAcentral is "23S ribosomal RNA". It matches the Rfam family "Bacterial large subunit ribosomal RNA". RNAcentral also lists the same sequence under 2 other names. The record is from RNAcentral. Lineage: Bacteria; Pseudomonadati; Pseudomonadota; Gammaproteobacteria; Pseudomonadales; Pseudomonadaceae.